RNAcentral lists this ribosomal RNA (467 nucleotides) under uncultured bacterium. Its description in RNAcentral is "partial 16S ribosomal RNA". It matches the Rfam family "Bacterial small subunit ribosomal RNA", at positions 28 to 507 of the family's 1533-position model. The record is from RNAcentral.
GACGAACGCUGGCGGCGUGCUUAACACAUGCCAGUCGAACGGAAAGGCUCCAGCUUGCUGGAGUACUCGAGUGGCGAACGGGUGAGUAACACGUGGGUAAUCUGCCCUGCACUCUGGGAUAAGCCUGGGAAACUGGGUCUAAUACUGGAUAUGACCUUUCUCCUUAUGGGGUUUGGUGGAAAGUUUUUCGGUGUAGGAUGAGCCUGCGGCCUAUCGGCUUGUUGGUGGGGUGAUGGCCUACCAAGGCGACGACGGGUAGCCGGCCUGAGAGGGUGAUCGGCCACAUUGGGACUGAGAUACGGCCCAGACUCCUACGGGAGGCAGCAGUGGGGAAUAUUGCACAAUGGGCGGAAGCCUGAUGCAGCGACGCCGCGUGAGGGAUGACGGCCUUCGGGUUGUAAACCUCUUUCAGCAGGGACGAAGCGUAAGUGACGGUACCUGCAGAAGAAGCACCGGCUAACUAUGUG